Molecule: ribosomal RNA, 778 nt
Filed under: uncultured bacterium
Lineage: Bacteria
Description: bacterial SSU rRNA
Rfam family: Bacterial small subunit ribosomal RNA
Source: RNAcentral
AAACGGAUGCUAAAACCGCAUAGGUCUUCGAACCGCAUGGUUUGAAGAGGAAAAGAGGCGCAAGCUUCUGCUGAUGGAUGGACCCGCGGUGCAUUAGCUAGUUGGUGAGGUAACGGCUCACCAAGGCCGUGAUGCAUAGCCGACCUGAGAGGGUGAUCGGCCACAUUGGGACUGAGACACGGCCCAAACUCCUACGGGAGGCAGCAGUAGGGAAUCUUCCGCAAUGGACGCAAGUCUGACGGAGCAACGCCGCGUGAGUGAAGAAGGUUUUCGGAUCGUAAAACUCUGUUGUUAGAGAAGAACAAGUGCUAGAGUAACUGUUAGCGCCUUGACGGUAUCUAACCAGAAAGCCACGGCUAACUACGUGCCAGCAGCCGCGGUAAUACGUAGGUGGCAAGCGUUGUCCGGAUUUAUUGGGCGUAAAGCGAGCGCAGGCGGUUCCUUAAGUCUGAUGUGAAAGCCCCCGGCUCAACCGGGGAGGGUCAUUGGAAACUGGGGAACUUGAGUGCAGAAGAGGAGAGUGGAAUUCCAUGUGUAGCGGUGAAAUGCGUAGAUAUAUGGAGGAACACCAGUGGCGAAGGCGACUCUCUGGUCUGUAACUGACGCUGAGGCUCGAAAGCGUGGGUAGCAAACAGGAUUAGAUACCCUGGUAGUCCACGCCGUAAACGAUGAGUGCUAAGUGUUGGAGGGUUUCCGCCCUUCAGUGCUGCAGUUAACGCAUUAAGCACUCCGCCUGGGGAGUACGACCGCAAGGUUGAAACUCAAAGGAAUUGACGGC